GAUGAACGCUGGCGGCGUGCCUAAUACAUGCAAGUCGAGCGAACAGACGAGGAGCUUGCUCCUCUGACGUGAGCGGCGGGCGGGUGAGGAACACGUGGAUAACCUACCUAUAAGACUGGGAUAACUUCGGGAAAGCGGAUCUAAUACCGGAUAAGAUAGUGAACCGCAUGGUUCAAUAGUGAAAGACGGUUUUGCUGUCACUAAUAGAGGGAUCCACGCCGGAUUAGCUAGUUGGUAGGGUAACGGCUUACCAAGGCAACGAUGCGUAGCCGACCUGAGAGGGUGAUCGGCCACACUGGAACUGAGACACGGUCCAGACUCCUGCGGGAGGCAGCAGUAGGGAAUCUUCCGCAAUGGGCGAAAGCCUGACGCAGCAACGCCGCGUGUGUGAUGAAGGUCUUCGGAUCGUAAAGCUCUGUUAUUAGGGAAGAACAACUGUGUAAUUAACUCUGCACGUCUUGACGGUACCUACUCAGAAAGCACCGGCUAACUACGUG
RNAcentral lists this ribosomal RNA (497 nucleotides) under uncultured bacterium. Its description in RNAcentral is "partial 16S ribosomal RNA". It matches the Rfam family "Bacterial small subunit ribosomal RNA", at positions 28 to 507 of the family's 1533-position model. The record is from RNAcentral.